Molecule: ribosomal RNA, 818 nt
Filed under: Prorocentrum koreanum
Lineage: Eukaryota; Dinophyceae; Prorocentrales; Prorocentraceae
Description: partial large subunit ribosomal RNA
Rfam family: Eukaryotic large subunit ribosomal RNA
Source: RNAcentral
GCCUUCGGCCUUGAAUUGUAGUCUCCAGAUGCAUCGCCAAUGGAGGCGCAGAUGUAAGCCUCUUGGAAAAGAGCAUCAACGAGGGUGAGAGUCCCGCUUGUCAUCUGCAGUCCCCCAUGCACGGCGUGCCUUCUAAGAGUCGCGUUCCUCGGAAUUGGAGCGUAAAUUGGGUGGUAAAUUUCAUCUCAAGCUAAAUAUUGGUUCGAGACCGAUAGCAAACAAGUACCAUGAGGGAAAGGUGAAAAGGACUUUGAAAAGAGAGUUAAAAGUGCCUGAAAUUGCUGAAAGGGAAGCGAAUGGAACCAGUGUUGCUUGGCGAGAUUGUCAUACGCAUUCGCGUGUGGUGGUUCUUGCCUUGUGUGUCAACGCCAGUUCGUGAUCGAGGAAAACUCUAGGGACAUGGUAGCUUGCCUCUGGGUGGGCGAAUGUGCCUGGUAGAACUCAUUUGCGGACUGAUUCAUUUGUGUCUGGUUGCAGUGCUUGUUGUCAUUUCGACGUGCUGGUGAUAGGGGCUCGCUCCUUGAUCUGUGCGCUCGGGUGACUGGGCAUUUCCCUGACAUAUAGACGAUGACUAAAUGGUUCUAUUCGACCCGUCUUGAAACACGGACCAAGGAGUCUAACAUAUGUGCGAGUCCACGGGUGGUAAACCUGCUGGCGCAGUGAAAGCGACUGCUGGGAUUUUUGCACCAGCAACCGACCAAUCAAUUGAGAGAGGUUUGAGUAUGAGCAUAUCUGUUAGGACCCGAAAGAUGGUGAACUAUGCCUGAGAAGGGCAAACUCAGGGGAAACUCUGAUGGAGGCUCGUAGCGAUACUGACG